GUGAACCCAAAACUAUUUAUACAAAAGAUACCUCUGAUAACCUGGAAGUCAUAUGUACAGAACUACUAAAAGAGUACAAGUCCCAAAAGUGGACCAUGGAAACAAGACUGCCUCAAAAAGCAAAAGGCAAGUCAAAAUGUAAAUACGAAAUUGAGACGAGAAAUUCCAGAAAGCCAUGUGCUCAUCCUCGUCCCCAGAACAGACUGUUGCAGGCUCAACCUCAACACUUAUAGGUGGUGCUCGGACCUGCAUCAUGAAAACAGAUGCACAGUGUAGCAUGAGUACCAAAGCAACAAGUACCUAAUAUGCAUCAUAGGCCGACUGAGCAAGAAAGGUGAAAACUGACGAAAAAGGUCGAAUCAAACACGAACAAAGGUCAACAGAAAUAAGAGCAGAACAAUCAGAAAGCUAGUCUAAGGAUAUUUAACCUAAACACAACUAGCCCCUCCCCAUAAGACCUACUAGGUACACUCAAGCACAAACAAACAAGAACCCGAACAGAUUCCCAUAAUACCGAUAGUUACACAGAGAAGCCACAACUAUGAAACCCAAAGAAAGCCCAAUUACGAAUCGACACAACCAACAACUCCAACCCAGUCAACAAGUCUCACUUCCAUAUCAGGUCACCCAUCCCGCCAGCAACUCUGGGGCAUUACCCAUCCAGGCAAGUGUCGCGCAGGGGUAUAUUAAUCCCCUCAGAAAUCCCUAAUCCAACUGCCCAAUAGGCUAACACUCUGGGGGAUCUGCCCAAGCCAGCCAAGUAUACCGUCUAACACUCCCGGGGGCUCUGCCCUAGCCAGAAAGAGUGUGCGGGCCUGUUAACUUUGAAGAGCACCUGAAGUAAGUUAUAUCCAACUACCCAACCAAUUAAUCACCUUGAGGGCCCUGCCCAAUGCCAACUAGGUAAGUCAAUUAUAACUCCCAGGGGCAUGCCCAAUGCAAGCCAUAGUGUGCGGGUAAAUUAAACUCCGUAGAGGAUCUCAAAUUCCAAGCUAUCCUGGAUCGACGUCAACUACAAACCACAUCAAAAAUGGGUGAAUCAGCUCCAAGCCAUCGUGAAUCGACAUCCACUACCAAGUACCUCACACCAGAAUCGAUCACGUAACACCCAAACUAGGAAAAUACUACGCCUCUGAUAACACAUCGGUAUCAUAGAAAUAAGGAGAGAAGCCAAAAAGAUCAUAAGCAAUAAAAAUCCCAAAGCUAGGCUCAAUUAUCAGACCUAAGUCUGCUAUGCCAGUCUAAAAGGACCUAGUCCAUCCGAAUUAAUGUCGGAUACAUACAAAAGUCAACCAGGUGGAUGGGUCUAAGGUAACACUAAUCUAUCCUAGACUAAGGACAAAGAUAAAUUCCAAAAUAAAUAAACAGCCAACUAGAUACUACGCAUGCAUCGACAAAUAAACAACCCAACAGGUAAUUCACAAAUCCCCCAGAUAAACAACCCCUCAGACAACAUGGUACUAACCCUGAAACGGCCUAAAAAAUCAACCCUACAACAUGGUUUCUGAGAAGAAGAGAAGAAAUACUAGCAGCACACCCCAGAUUCACACAAUUCGACAUGCAAUUACAAAAGACUACUCAAGAAUUUAUUCUCUAUGGGAUUGCAUCGGACCUAUUUUGAAAGAAUUGUAAGACUUGGUAAAAUUUCUGAAGUCAAGUUAAGCACAUUACCACAUAAAAGAUAGUAGUUUUGAAAUCUUACAAAUUCCUUGAACCAUGUAGAGAAAUUUGCUUCAAGGCUCUUAUCUAUUUGACCUUGAGAUAGAUUCGGAAAUUCUUUUUGCAAACGUUGCAUGAACAUACUUCAUCAUAGUAAAAUAAGUUUAAUUUGAUAGUCCUGAAUAAAGAUAUGUUUAUAUCAUUAAGAAAAUACCACUAACUUUUGUUACCUCACAAAUGGCUCAACCUCCUCACAAUUUAGUAAGAUAUAAGUUUGGGCAGCCUUGAUUUCUUCAAGGGAUAAAUCCCUUUUUUUUGCUUCUCUCCAUACUCGACCUGGAUGGGAGAAUAUUGAUAAAUUUCCUUCAAGAUCUUCCACAACACCACCAUCAUCAUUACGUUCCACAUUAUGAUUACGUGUCAUGACAUGAGGUUCAAAAUAAUGAGAAAACAAUUGUGUUGACUCUGUCAUCAAGCACACUUCACAAAUGGAACCCUCUACACUAGCUUUAUUCCCAAUCAUCCUUUUAAAAGUUCCCAAAUACCUAAAUAGAGAAAAUGGAUGGACUAUUACAUUAGAAAAGGAAUGUAUGGCAAACUAGUCAUAAGUGACAUAAAGUUUCACAUUUACCUUUCAAAAGGAUACAUCCAUCGAUAUUGCAUUGGUCCAGCUAUCCUUGCUUCAUAUGGAAUGUGCAAAGGAAGAUGUUCCAUUGAGUCAAAGAACCCAGGAGGAAAUAUACGUUCUAGCUUGCAUAAGAUUUGUGGAAUAUCUCUCUCCAAUCUCUCCAUGUCAUCCACUCGUAGAGUGGUGGAAGUAAGAUCUUUAAAAAAUAAGCUCAAUUCUGUAAGUGCCUGCCACACAUUACUAGGAAGUAGUUCACGAAAAGCAAUAGGCAUUAGUCGUUGCAUGAACACAUGACAAUUGUGACUUUUCAAAACAAAUAUCAUUUUCGCAUUUGUGUCUGGACAUCUACCCAAAUUGGAAACAUACCCAUCUGGAAACCUUAAGCCUUUCACCCAAUUGAACAAGAUAGCUCGUGCUUCCUUGUCUAUUGUAUAUAUUGCUUUGGGAUAUUUUCCACUACUGUCUUUUGCCAAUUGAGGUCGAUCACAGUAUUCUACCAUAUCUUGACGUGAUUGUGGAUUGUCUUUGGUUUUGUCAUCAAAAUUAAGAACUGUGUUAAACACAUUAUCAAAGACAUUUUUUCUCAAUAUGCAUGACAUCAAGAUUAUGUCGAAUCAUGUUAGAACUCCAAUAAGGCAAAUCCCAAAAGAUUGCUUUUCUUUUUCCAUCCACAAGACUUGCAUAAUCUUCUAUUAACUUCGUUUGCAUCUAACUCUGUUACUUUUCUUAUGCCCAAGUCACAAAUUUGGUUCAAUAAUUCUUCUCCUGUUCUAUAGGGUGGUGAUGAUCUUUGGACAGUCUUGCCUUUACGAAAGUUUUUACGAUCUCUCCUAAAUGGGUGAUUUUGGUCUAGAAACAUCCUAUGGCAAUCAAACCAUGAUGUUUUUCUACCAUGUUUCAAUCUAAAGGAUUGUGUUUCCUCCAUACAAUAGGGACAUGCUAAAUUACCAACAGUACUCCAUCCGGAUAACAUAGAAUAUGCUGGAAAGUCACUGAUUGUCCACAUUAAAGUUGCCCUUAGUUGAAAGUUUUGCUUUUUGAGAUGUCAAAUGCUUCCACACCUGUCUCCCACCACAAAGUCAGUUCUUUUAUCAGAGGCUGCAGAUAAACAUCAAUUUUAUGUUUGGGAUUGGUUGGCCCUGGAACAAUAACUAUUAAGAACAUAUAAGCCUCUUUCAUACACAUCCCUGGAGGUAAAUUGUAAGGAGUGACAAUCAUUGGCCAUGAAGAGUAUUUACUCCUAGAUUGACUAAAUGGUUGGAAACCAUCAGUACAUAACCCCAAUCUUACAUUUCUUGGUUCCACAACAAAAAAAUUAUGAGUUUCAUUGAAGUGCUUCCAAGCCUCAGAGUGUGAUGGAUGACGCAUUACGCCAUCCUCUUUUGUAUGCUCAUGAUGCCAUCUCAUGUCAGCAGCAGUAGCAGGGGAUGCAUAUAAUCUUUGCAAUCUAGGAAUCAAAGGAAAAUAAUACAUUUUCUUAUAAGGGACCAAUUUCCUUUUACGAGAGCCGACAUGACGCUUGUAUCUCUCAUGGCCACAGAAUGUACAACAUGUAAGGUGUUCAUCAUCACCCCAAUAUAACAUACAUCCUGAUCCACAACAAUCAAUUUUUUCAACUGGCAAACCCAAGCUACGCACUAGCUUCUUGGUCUGAUAAUAACUAUCAAGAAAAAUGUUAGCUUCAGGUAAAGCCUAUUUCAACAAUUGCAUCAUUUGAUUAUAACCUCUCUGUGACAUAUUGUUCUCCAUUUUAAUAUUUAACAUCCGAGAGACAAGCGCAAGUUGAGAGAGAGAAGAACCGGGAUACAAUUUUUGAGUAGCUGCUUGUAGCAAAUCAUAUAAUUUUUGAAAGUCGGAAUUAGGAUCUUCCUCCAUCAAAGGUUCACAAAGAUGAGUUGGCUGAGGUUCAAUAAUGCUAGAACAUUGCCAACUUGAACCUUGGGAAAAGUUGGGACACGAAACAUCUAAAACCAUUUGUCAGUAUGGAUUACAUAUGUUAAUUCAGGUUGAGCACUACCAUGAAAAUCUUGACCUGAAGAAAUCUCAUUGAUCACAUCUUUUUCCCCUUGAUGCUUCCAAACAAAAUAGUUAUCAACAAAUCCAGUCUUAUAAAGGUGAUGUUUAACGAUUUCAACAUCUAUGAAUCUAAAGUUGUGACAUUUUUUACAUGGACAUCUAACUUUGUCACCACUCAAGCGAUCCUGUUGUGUACAUGCAAACUAGAUAAAUUUAUCCACAUCGGUUAUAAAACUAAAGUUUAUAGCCCCACGACCAUCCAACCUCUCAUACAUCCAACCACACUCUAGAUUAUUCAUGUUCCUGUCAAUUCUUAAACAAACAAAACUUCUACUAAAAAAGCACUAGUUGAUUGACCAAAAGGUACUCUAAUUCAUAUUCAUUAAAUUUAGUUAAAAUAUAGAGAUCGGACUAACAAAAACCGUUUCUCGAAUUAGAAUGAAAUAGAUUCAUUCAGUAACUUUCACAAUAAUUGGAAUUUGAUCUCCUGUGCCUGUGAAUUAAAGAGAUGGGGAGCUGAAACUGAAAUUUCUCACUAGGAAAGCUGAAAAAAAGCUUACCUAAAAAAAAUAAUUCUUUACUGAAGAAUUCUAAUUCCAGUCAACUUAUAGAAUAAUAAAGCAUUCUAAGUCCAGCCAGCUUACUUUAGAGUAUAAACUAUACUUUCUUUUAUAAAUAAGGAACUAGUAGUACAGGCAUACAAAAAACAAAACACAAAACACAUAUAAAGAAACUAAAUUUUCUUAAGCACAUUGGACACAAUGACAACAAGCAUCUUCCUAAUUACAUUCAGUAAAGUAUAUACCUCGAUAGUUAAAUUUUGAGCUAAAUCAGGGGUAAAAAUAAAGAGUAAGGCUUACUUCCAGUGAAUAUCAACCAGAUCCUCUGAUUAGGGUAGAACAGUAGUGCC
Molecule: long non-coding RNA, 5213 nt
Filed under: Solanum tuberosum (potato)
Lineage: Eukaryota; Viridiplantae; Streptophyta; Magnoliopsida; Solanales; Solanaceae
Description: long non-coding RNA (STUB_LNC008124)
Source: RNAcentral